Molecule: ribosomal RNA, 497 nt
Filed under: uncultured bacterium
Lineage: Bacteria
Description: partial 16S ribosomal RNA
Rfam family: Bacterial small subunit ribosomal RNA
Source: RNAcentral
GAUGAACGCUGGCGGCGUGCCUAAUACAUGCAAGUCGAGCGAACAGACGAGGAGCUUGCUCCUCUGACGUUAGCGGCGGACGGGUGAGUAACACGUGGAUAACCUACCUAUAAGACUGGGAUAACUUCGGGAAACCGGAGCUAAUACCGGAUAAUAUAUUGAACCGCAUGGUUCAAUAGUGAAAGACGGUUUUGCUGUCACUUAUAGAUGGAUCCGCGCCGCAUUAGCUAGUUGGUAAGGUAACGGCUUACCAAGGCAACGAUGCGUAGCCGACCUGAGAGGGUGAUCGGUCACACUGGAACUGAGACACGGUCCAGACUCCUACGGGAGGCAGCAGUAGGGAAUCUUCCGCAAUGGGCGAAAGCUUGACGGAGCAACGCCGCGUGAGUGAUGAAGGUCUUCGGAUCGUAAAACUCUGUUAUUAGGGAAGAACAAAUGUGUAAGUAACUAUGCACGUCUUGACGGUACCUAAUCAGAAAGCCACGGCUAACUACGUG